Mustela erminea (ermine) is the source of this 1321-nucleotide long non-coding RNA. RefSeq lists it as uncharacterized. The transcript has 3 exons. NCBI's taxonomy places the organism in Eukaryota, Metazoa, Chordata, Mammalia, Carnivora, Mustelidae. The record is from RefSeq and is a predicted model, not a curated record.
CGUUUUCUGCUUUUGUCUGAGGUGAGCCUCAGGAGCUGGGAGAACAGACUGGUCAGCGGAGCCCGGAAUGGCUUGUCACUCCUUCCCGCAAGGCGGCUGGAGCUGGGCACACGCAGGCUGGCCACUCUGGAGCCGUGAGGGUGACCGCCAAGAUGAGGAAACAGAAGCAUGCGAAUGAAGUCACGUGCCACAGGUCACACCACCACAGAGCGGCAGGGAUGGAAUUUGAGCAGGUCUCUGGAAGGCGGGUGGCCCCUGGAGCCGGAGGAGCUGUCCCAGGGAUGACGUGGUCUCCGCGCAAAGGCGACGUGAACAAGAGGAGGGGGCCACCGGGUAAAAGAAGCCGGUGGCAUCACCAUUUACAGAGUUCCGGGUGCUGGAGCGUCGGUUUUUGCAGGUGUGGAGAGGAGGGGGUGAGCGGAUGGUGAAGCUGCCCUGCGUUGUUCAGAGCUGGGCGUUUCCCUCAGGGCUCGAGUGUGGCUUUACCUGACCUUGUGCGGCCGGUGACGUGAUCGCACAGGCCUUCUUGGGCUGUUCUUGUGUGCCCUUCUCUCCUCGGCUGCUUCGGUUUUAUCUGCACCUCUCACCCACCACGUUGAAUGGCAGCCCAGGCCCCCAGGCAUGCCGGGGGACCGGGAUGCCGUACACAGCGACCGUGGGCUCCUGACCGGUUGUCCUUGUGCUGGUAGGAAGCACGCAGGGAGAGACAGCCACUCGGGGGCUUACCGGUCAGAGCGCCGUGUGAGCCCUCCGGACACGGCGUCCGGCUCUCAUCUCCCCCCAAGGAGACACACACCCUGUUCCGCUUCUUGUGGCCACUUAACAAGGCGUCUUUCCACAGUAACACAUGAUGUAGCUCCCUUGCACUUCCAAAAAACGAAUUUUUGUGGUUAUUCAUAUGCUUUGUUUCAAAAUCCAAAAGGCAUAAAAUAAUGUCCCUUGAAAACCUCCCUCCCAGCCAUCCAGCGCCUUCUUUCUUUGGAUCUUUCCACGUGUUGGCCACUAGAGGAGGCUCCAGGAGAAAUCAUUCCCUCACCUUGCAGUUUUUAAAACACAAACGGUAAUAAUUUUUCUUUUUAAAGUAAGCCCUACACCCAACAUGGGGCUUGAACUCACAACCCCAGAUCAACAGCACCUGCUUGACCCACUGAGGCAGCCAGGCGCCCCAUAAAUGGCAAUAAUUCUUCUUAGAGACCGUUCCGUAUUAGUACCUAAUGAACAUACUCAUUAAUUAUUUUAUACAGCGACACAGUAUUUUAUUACAUGAAUGUAUCAAACUUAACUGGAUUCCAAGAACAUUUAGGUUGUUUCCAUUUUUUAA